Long non-coding RNA from Sphaeramia orbicularis (orbiculate cardinalfish), 140 nucleotides. RefSeq lists it as uncharacterized. The record is from RefSeq and is a predicted model, not a curated record. NCBI's taxonomy places the organism in Eukaryota, Metazoa, Chordata, Actinopteri, Kurtiformes, Apogonidae. The transcript is spliced from 3 exons.
UUUUAAUUCAUUGACUGCGAGAGCCCCAUACUUCUGGAGCAUUUUGACUGAUGUUUCAAGACCCACAGAAUAUUGAGUUCUAUGACUACAUAAACAUUGAAACUAUCAAAAGAAAGUGUAGACUCUCUUCUUUCAUCAGG